Molecule: long non-coding RNA, 5263 nt
Organism: Felis catus (domestic cat)
Lineage: Eukaryota; Metazoa; Chordata; Mammalia; Carnivora; Felidae
Exons: 3
Source: RefSeq, a predicted model, not a curated record
UGAGAUCAUGACCUGAGCGAAAGUCGGAUGCUUAACUGACUGAGCCACCCAGGCACCCCCCUAUAGUUUGAGUUUUAAUAAUCUGCCUUUUCUGGUCAAUUCCAUAGUCUGGCAGACCUUCUGAAUGUACCUGAUACUGCCUGGCUUUGUACUUUACAAUGUAAUUUUUUUUUCUCAUUGAAGUUUUAAAAUUUCUGUUGUUUGGCUUCUCAGAUGAAUUUUUAUUUUUUUGCAGGAAGAAUCUGGUUGAUAGUUUUGAAGUAUAUUUAAAUCAGUGCCAAUUGCUUCUAAAGAAGUCCUUUGAUAUACAAAUAUCUUUGUGUCAUUCUGACUGUUGGGCAGGCAAGGGCAGGUUUCCUGAGGGCUCAGAGUGCUGGGUGCCUUGGAGUUAUAUCUUUAUCUCUGGACCAUGCUAGUGGAAGAAAGAUGUCAAGGGGUUGUUACUUCUCUUGGUAGAUUUUUGUCCUUUUCGCCUUAUAGAAGAUUUAUCCUUAAAGAAUAACAACUUGGUCGAUAACAAGGUAAUUCUUCUCAAAUUCCAAAAUGCAAGACAAUACAGGUAAAUACCCGUAUUUACUUCACAUACACCUUAUUUACUUCACAGAGCAUAUUGGUUUGCUAGGACAGUCAUAACAAAAUACCACAGGCUGGGUGACUUAAACAAUAGAAAUUCAUUUUCUCACAGUUCUGGAACCUAGAAGUCUACAGUCACAUGUCAUCAGGCUUGGUUUCUUUUGAGGCCUUUGUUCUUGGCUUGUAGACGGCCUCCUUCUCACAGUGUCCUCACAUGGCCCUUCCUCUGUGCACAUCCCUGCUGUCUCUUUGUGCAUCCAAAAUUUACUUUUCUUGUAAGGACAAGAGUCAUAUUGGAUUAGAGCCUACCCUAAUGGCCUCGUUUUAGCUUAAUCACCAUUUUAAAAGCCCUAACUCCAAAUUCAGUCACAUUCUGAGGUACUGGGGAUGAAAGCUUCAAUAUAUGAAUUUUGGAGGACACAAUUCACAGGGUGACACAGGGUGAGAUAUCUCUUUAAGGGAGAAAAAGUAACAAUUGAUCUCGUGGUCUAAAUCUCUGCAUUCUAGAGACUCCAGAAGCUUACAUUUGGGUGACAUUGUAACACCUUAGACACAAGAAAUUAAUUUAGACUAUAACAAUCAAAAGAUGAGCAAAAGGAAUCAGGGCUCUGUAAACUUUUAUCUUGUUCUCGUAUUGCAGAGGAGAGUGCCUUAGCGUUACUAACAAACCGUGGAGGGAGAAAGGGAGUUGGGGGGUAGGAUUCAAAAGAGCCAAAAGUGAAGGGGAAACUGUCAUGUCAGCUGGAGAAAGAGAGGGAAGAAAAGAGAAGAAAAGAGAAGAAAGAAAGAUGAGAGAGAGAGAAAAAAAGAGAGAAGGAGAGGAGAAAAAUUAAGAUAGAAGAAGUGGUGGGGGGAAGAAGAGGAGAGAGAAAAGGGAAAGGAAAAAGGAGUGAUCAAAGGAGAAACAGAGAAAAGAAGAAAUAGCCUGUAUUUACAAUGGGUUGAGAAAGAGAGUUCACGCACUUCGUUCUCUUAGAAGACUCACCUCCCUCAAAGAGGGUGAAAAGCGAGUAGAUCGGAUAUACACACACAGGAGCAGAAAGUAAAGGAUGGCCCUGGAGAGGAAGGGCUUGGGUGUUGAGGUUGGGUGUAGAUAGCCGAGGACCAUCCAACAUUAAUGAGCACAAAUGUGUGCACAGGCUGAAAAUCUCUCUCUAGGGAUUCUGAUGACUCAAGCUUUGUUGGUGCCAUUGGAAACCAUGAAUGGAAAAUAACUGACUCGCUCUCUGAGGCAAUCUGGCUUAUAGGCCUGAAGCUCUUACUUGCUGCCAGGCCAUCCGUCUCCCCUGUGCCCCUGUGAGAUAUUCCUGAAACUGAACCACGUACAGUCUUCUUUGCCAAAGUGCUUGGCAUUGGCGUUUCCCUUUCCCAUAAUUCUGAGCUGGGGAUAGACUGGUUAAUGUGAGCAUGUCUCGUGGAUGUGCAGUUUAGGGAGAACUGUGGAAAAGUGUGUCAUGCCCACCUAGGGGCACACGCACAGAGGAUAUUUCCUCUCACUGCCCUCUGUGGGCAUGACCAUUUUCUUGAAGGCCUUUGCCCUUCUGGCUUUACGAUAUCUGAGCCUCUUCUUUGAACCUUAGUGAUGAGCCUCAAGCUAAGCUAUAGCUCUCCUCGGAAAUAAAUUUAUUUUCCUCCCCUCCCCAUGAUAAACAAAUUAUGUUGACAGACAAAUGCAGGAUUAGGUGGGGAGAUUUGUGAGGCAGUGGGAUUCUGGAGGCUUGAGCAAGCAGAUGUCAGGAUUAGGUUGAGAGGGAAGGAUUCAGGUGGGGCGGGAGGCUCCAGGGAUAAAUCCACGGUGGUAAUGAGGCCACGACUGAGAUGAGGCAGGGAGGUGAGGUAGAGGGAGAAGCAGGUUCAAGAUGCCACAGAAGAGUUCUCUGUUCAGAGCUACCCUUGGAUUUCCAAACUUUCAAAUAAGGCUGCUUGGCUUCAGACAAGACAUCUGGGUUACCAGAGCCUCCAUUUUACCUUCUGUGCAGUGGGCAUACUACUUACCCUACUUACCUCACAGGUUGGCUUUGAAAACACAAUCAUGUGGGAAGAAUGUCUAAAGUGCCAUUAAACAUAUUAUUAUUACUUUUUUUUUUUUUAAUGUUGCUCUACCCAUAAAGGGAUUUCUUUUCUAUAGCAUCUGCUUUAGAGUAUUUCUAGUGGUGGGGAGCUUACCAGCUUACCACUGCCUUUAUGGGAGGUCAUUUCUUUUACAUUUAUUUACAAUUUUUAGGAAAAAUUCUGUUAAGCCCAAAUUUGCCUAAUUAGUAAUUGUAACAACAAGCUAACAUUCAUGUAGUGCACACUAUGCUCUGCAGCUAGCCCAUUCUAGGUACUAUACGUAUACAUAUAUAUGUAGGGGUGUGUGUGUGUGUGUGUGUUUAGGUUACAUUUAUUCUUUUCAGUAACCCUGUAAGGUGGGUCCUAUGAUUAUUCCAGUUUUACAUAGAAGAAAACUGAGGCAUAGAUAAGUUAAGAGACUUAUCGCAGGUCACAUGGCUGUCAUUUUUACUCUUUGAUCCAUGGUUUUCUGUCCAUAGUCAGCUCAUAGUACUGGAAGACUUUAUUUUGCCCUUUCUGUGUCCUCCCUUUGCCAGGCUUCCCUCCACUCUCCCUUGCUGUCUUCUGCAUGUGCCUCCUCUCUUAAAGUGUUGUUCCCAAAACCCUCUAAGGGUUUUUUGACAGAUACAGAGAAGAACUGCAUUGCUGGGUCUCCUGGGGCUGGCUGCUGCUGUUCUCCUAGGAGCUUUGGGGAGGGGGCACUAUACGGAAGAAAGAAUGUUUUCAAGCCGGCACCACUGGAAAAUGGAUAGUAUGUGCUGGUCCACUGGCCCCAGCUGCCGGAUGAUGGGGAUUGGGAUCAGCUGUGACCUAAUUAUGGUCUCAUAAACCUGCAUUGUGUCCUUCAUUUUCCAGCUCAUUGACCACCCAGAGGGGGAGGGAAAAUGGAUGGGAUUCUGGUCAAGUCCUUCCUGCCACUACCAUGUGGCCAAGGUCACAGGCCAAUGAUGUCCAGAGGGAGUUUAGGGAAAAAGGAGAAGAGACACCUACUAUGUGUUGGACACCUACUAUGUGUCAUGCUUUACACCUAUUAUCUGGGAUAAUUUCAUUGUGCAAGAAGCAAAGCUUCUGCCGUACUGUGACAAAAACUACAAAUCUUAGAGCUUGCUUAGUGACACUGGCACUGUUCUAGGCCCCAAGGAUUCAGCAAUGAAGAGGACAGGAAAGGUUCUUUCCUUCAUGCUGAUUAUACACUAAAUGUGGAGACAAGCAAUGAAAAAUAAGAAGAUACAUGCAUAUGGUAAUGCCACAUAGUAGUAGAGCUAUGAAAAUUUAAAGCAAGGAAAUGUGAUAAAAUGUGACUGGAAAGAUUAAACAACACUUUAGGGAGGGAAGCCAGAGAUGGACACUUAGAGUAGGUGAUGCUAUUUAAGCUGAAAUUUGAAUGAAAAGCAGGAGGCAUUCAUAUUAAUGAUUAGAACAAAGGCUCUAAGGUGGGAAUGAGCUUCAUAGGGUCAAGGAGAAGCACAUAGGCCGGUAGGUUGGUGCAUGAAGGAAAUGGGAUGGGAGAUCAGACUACCCUGUAGGUUAUUUGGAAAUAUUAAAUUAAAUCAAUUAAACCAAUUAAGUCAGAAUCUCUGAGAUGGGGUCCAGUCCACAGUAUAUACUAACACCUCUCGAAGUGAUUCUAAUGAGUAGCAAAGGUUGAGAAGCACUGUAUCAGAGAGAAGAACCAAAAGAAGAAGAGUUUCUUUUUGAGCAGGUAGAAGAUGUUGAAGGAAUGGGAUGGAGUAGGAGUGAUGUGAAGAUUGUAAUCCUGCAGGAGUAUCCUGGGGUUGGAUGGAUUAUUGUCCUUGACCUGGUGGUCAAUGGAGUCCAGAGUGGCCUGUUCCAAGGGCAAGGUCCCUAGGUUCUUUAGUUAGUGUCCUUUGCCUGUUUGCUGAAAUGGUUUGUGUCAAUUAUGGCAGAAGUCAAAGAGUUAAGUUUUAGUUUACUUAUUUUCUGCAGUUCACAGAGAUCCAACCCUCUGAGCUAGAGAUAAGGCAGAUGGUCCUGAGCUGGAAAAAACUUGCCCAGAUAACCUCUCCUUCUUGAAGAGGAUUUAAACUGAGGAUUUAAAAAUCAGUUUAAAUAAUAAUGGCCUAUAACAUAGUUCUACAUGCAGAAAUUUUUUUUCUAUGAAAACUAGAUGUUGCCUUAAAUCAGUCUGUAUAAAAAAGUGGGGGGAUUCGCUAACAGGAGUAGAAGCUGAAGAUCCUAUAAAGGAAAAAGACUGGCUUCAGUUACAGAUGGGGUGUGAGAUGGAUGGAAAGCUGCCACCAUGGCUGGAGAGGAUGAGAUUCAUACAAGACAGAGCUCAAAAGAGGAGGCUCUUGAGCUUAGAGACAAUUUGAGACACGAAAAUGAUUGUGUGUGAUUAGAAGGAAUAGAAUAAGAAAAGAUAUACACAAUAUAGAUGGAGAUCUCAUCUCUUUAAAAUCCUGAAUAAGAACAUCAAGUGAGGUAGCAUAGCUAAUAACCAGGGCUCUAGACUCCAAAUUGAAUGAAUUCUUUAAACACUUUAACCCUCAGUUUCCUCACUUAUAAAAUGGGAAUAAUAGUACCUAAGUCAUCAGUCACUGUGAAAAUUAAUGAUAAAAUGCAUGUAAAAGGUGUGGCACAAUGCCUGGCACUUAGUAAGAGCCUUUAAAUAUCAGCU